RNAcentral lists this long non-coding RNA (237 nucleotides) under Ananas comosus (pineapple). Its description in RNAcentral is "long non-coding RNA (ACOM_LNC022201)". Lineage: Eukaryota; Viridiplantae; Streptophyta; Magnoliopsida; Poales; Bromeliaceae. The record is from RNAcentral.
AUGUGAUUCAUUUUGAUCACAUAUAUACAUGCAUUCCACAACAUUCACAUUUACAUUCUUUUUCAUCAUUUAUUCUCUUUUACAUCGCAUGAUUUCCAAAUUAGAACUCUUUUACAUUCAACAUAAGCUCCUUUUUACAGUCUUUGCAUUUAACAUCAUAUUCUUUGCAUUUAACAUCAUUUAUACCAAACAUCAACUAGUAACACCAUCAAACACAAAAGAUGAUAUAUAAGGGUA